RNAcentral lists this ribosomal RNA (395 nucleotides) under uncultured Acidimicrobiales bacterium. RNAcentral's name for it is "bacterial SSU rRNA". It matches the Rfam family "Bacterial small subunit ribosomal RNA", at positions 986 to 1378 of the family's 1533-position model. The record is from RNAcentral. Lineage: Bacteria; Bacillati; Actinomycetota; Acidimicrobiia; Acidimicrobiales.
AUCAUGGGAAAAGCCGUAGAGAUACGGUGUGCCAUUAGCGUCCAUGACAGGUGGUGCAUGGCUGUCGUCAGCUCGUGUCGUGAGAUGUUGGGUUAAGUCCCGCAACGAGCGCAACCCUUGUCCUAUGUUGCCAGCGGUUCGGCCGGGGACUCAUAGGAGACUGCCGGGGACAACUCGGAGGAAGGUGAGGACGACGUCAAGUCAUCAUGCCCCUUAUGUCCAGGGCUGCACGCAUGCUACAAUGGCCGGUACAACGGGCUGCGAUCCCGCGAGGGUGAGCGAAUCCCUUAAAGCCGGCCUCAGUUCGGAUUGGAGUCUGCAACUCGACUCCAUGAAGUCGGAGUCGCUAGUAAUCGCGGAUCAGCAAAGCCGCGGUGAAUGCGUUCUCGGGGAUU